This 801-nucleotide unclassified non-coding RNA is filed under the name Hevea brasiliensis (rubber tree). Lineage: Eukaryota; Viridiplantae; Streptophyta; Magnoliopsida; Malpighiales; Euphorbiaceae. The record is from RNAcentral.
AGAAAGUAGAAUUAUAUUCUAGGGCUUCAGUUUUUGUAUCUGCACUUGGAAUUGCAGUUGAAAAAUGGCGGACGAAGCAAAUAGAACUGCUUUUAUUGAAAUUCAGGGUCGAAUGAUAGAGACUACCGGUAAAUUGAAGCAGGUUCAAACCCAGAUUCGAAACAAAGAAACCGAGAAGAAGCGUGCUUAUUUGACAUUGGAGGAACUGAAACAGCUGUCUGAUGACACUAAUACAUACAAAGCCAUAGGAAGAACAUUUGUCUUAGAGCCAAAGGCUGUGUUAAUGAACGAGCAAGAGCAAAAACUCAAGGAUGGUGAAACUGCAAUUGCCUCUUUGCAGACUUCUAAAGAGUAUUUGGAAAAGCACAUGGCGGAGGUGGAGAAUAACCUUAGGGAGCUCUUGCAACAAGAUCCUGGUCUUGCUCGUCAGAUAAUGACCAUGUCUGUAGCGUAGAUAUCUUCUGCUUCUGAAGUUCCUUUUGUCAACUCUUUCCUUGGAAGAAAAAAAAAACGAUAGCUUCUCAAAGAUUUUUUGGAACUUCAAAUUCUAGGUAAAGAAUACACUCUGUACUGGCUGUAUGAGGAACUUAUCCACCUGAUUUCUGGCACGCUGCUGUGUUGGUCGUAAAAUCGUAAUGCUUGCUUCUAUUGGACCUGGAAUUGGUCUAGAGACUACUGCGAGUCAAGUCGUAAAAUUCAUUAGAAAUGUUGUGUAUUAGCUUUCCUUAACACUUUUGCGGCUUGAGUUUCCAAAUAGUUAAUACUUAAUGGUUGGAUGUAUUCUUUCUGCAAAUGGUUCGU